GAAGAGGGAGAGGUGACCGCCGGUGGCGUCGCGGCAACGCGGCGUCACGGGAGGAAAGUCCGAGCUUCACAGGGCAAGGUGCUGGUUAACGGCCAGUCGAGGUGACUCGCAGGAAAGUGCCACAGAAAGCAAACCGCCGGUCGCAAGGCCGGUAAGGGUGAAAGGGUGCGGUAAGAGCGCACCGCCUCGCUGGUGACAGCGAGGGCACGGCAAACCCCACCUGAAGCAAGACCAGACAGGGGUCGUGUUGCCCGCACGAUGACUCCGGGUUGGUCGCUCGAGCCCAGCGGCAACGCUGGGCCUAGAAGAAUGGUCGCCACAAGACAGAACUCGGCUUAACGCCCUCUUCGACG
This 353-nucleotide RNase P RNA is filed under the name Kofleriaceae bacterium. RNAcentral's name for it is "Bacterial RNase P class A". It matches the Rfam family "Bacterial RNase P class A". From Rfam's summary of the family: Ribonuclease P (RNase P) is a ubiquitous endoribonuclease, found in archaea, bacteria and eukarya as well as chloroplasts and mitochondria. Lineage: Bacteria; Pseudomonadati; Myxococcota; Haliangiales; Kofleriaceae. The record is from Rfam by way of RNAcentral.